UACGGAGGGUGCAAGCGUUAUCCGGAUUCACUGGGUUUAAAGGGUGCGUAGGUGGGCUAGUAAGUCCGUGGUGAAAUCUCCAAGCUUAACUUGGAAACUGCCGUGGAUACUAUUAGUCUUGAAUCUCGUGGAGGUAAGCGGAAUAUGUCAUGUAGCGGUGAAAUGCUUAGAUAUGACAUAGAACACCGAUAGCGAAGGCAGCUUGCUACACGAGUAUUGACACUGAGGCACGAAAGCGUGGGGAGCGAACAGG
Molecule: ribosomal RNA, 253 nt
Filed under: uncultured bacterium
Lineage: Bacteria
Description: partial 16S ribosomal RNA
Rfam family: Bacterial small subunit ribosomal RNA
Source: RNAcentral